AUCUAGUACCUGGGAGAGCUGCCAAAAUCUUCGGAUAGUUGUUCGUAGAUGAUCUUCAGAUGAUGGCCGGUUGACUCAUGAUCGUCUUCGGUUUGACUUUUAUGAUAUCGGCCGGGUCGGUCCGUCGUGGUCAGAGCCCCCUCUUUCGGACAGGGAUGACUCGACGACCGCCCGCGUCGUACCUGGUUCGCUGGGAACCUUUUGCUUUUUCUAGUCAGAGCUUCUUCUCUCUAGUCGGAGCUUCUUCUCUCCUUUGGAAAUAUAAUUCAUUAGUUUAUAUCCUCAGCUCCGGAUGAUGUAUCGAUGUUUAUUGUAGCUUCUGUUCUCAUGGACGAGCUCUCCACUGUUUUUAUACAAUAUCGUUUCUCA
This 369-nucleotide long non-coding RNA is filed under the name Androctonus crassicauda. The record is from RNAcentral. Lineage: Eukaryota; Metazoa; Arthropoda; Arachnida; Scorpiones; Buthidae.